This 5762-nucleotide long non-coding RNA is filed under the name Zea mays. RNAcentral describes it as "long non-coding RNA (ZMAY_LNC002614)". Lineage: Eukaryota; Viridiplantae; Streptophyta; Magnoliopsida; Poales; Poaceae. The record is from RNAcentral.
UGUCUCUGGACUGCGCGCAUUAUUAUUAUAAAGUGCAGGGGCCUCGGCGCAAGAAACCCGAGAUUCAUUUUCCCCCGCACAGGAUGGCGGGUUAAUUACGAAAAUGAUCAGGGGCUCUUAUGUAAUAUAGCAGUAGCGAAGGGGUACGGGUAAACUACAACCGCCCGAUUAGAUUUCAGUGGCUGGGAUUAGAUCAACAUUAAAUCGAACCGGUUCGCAAUCGUACCCGUCUGAUCCCGAUCCAAGGGUCGGGAUUUAAUAUGCUCCGAUCGAACAUAUACCGCUGAUCUUCCGAUGGACGGUAUAAAAUCAACGACCCUAAGGGGAUCUCUGCUUCUAAUUUCGUCCGUCCUCUUCCGAUGCAACGGAUGACCGUCAUCUCCUUCCUCCGGUACCCGGCCACGGCGGCGCUGCCGGCCGUCCACGACAGUACGCAUGCCCGUGACUGGUGGCCCGAUUCCCCGGCGACCGAAACACCGAUUGAGUUGGCGCUACGGGUUGCUACGCUCCUAUUGAGACUGUUGAAGGGUGACUCACCAGCGACAAGGUUGAGACGAGAUCGGUCCACGUCGGGGUUGCGGCACCGCGGUGAGACCCGCACCGGCAAGGGAACACCAUGGCCGAGGCCAUCCAUCCCUACAUCUCGCGCUUGAGGAAGAUCCACACAGGUCGAUCUUAAUUUCUCUCCCAGCAUUGGCGUUCCCAAACCGGGCCGCCUGGCAGACUCCGACCGAUGGCGAAGUUGAGGAACGACGUCGGCGGUUUCACCCUGACCCCAUUGGCGCUGCUGGUUUGGUAGCGAUAGGAGGUGGUUCGGCGGCUUCGUUAAUCAGAGGAGUAGGCCGGCACCAGGUUAUAUGUACUGCUUAGGCAGGAUCUCAACCAUAUUCCGAAAAUCUCGAGGGCACGAAGAAAUUGCGGCUGCAGCAACGGACAAGGCCGAGCAUCCAGGAAAGAAGAACCUGACACCCUCAACCCCACCCAUCAGAGGUGCAAGACAUUGAGGCAUCCGUUGAUUACUCUGCCCGUGGGACCCACACCACGGUGCCCCAAAUAGACCAGGCGACGUGAAUGAUGGGAUGGAGUCAUCAUCGGCUAGGGCCUAGGGGAUUAAUAAAAUCGAAAAAGAUUAUGUCCACGUCUUGACUAGUGGCCAAACGGCCAUGGGUUUUCACGUAGAUUUUAGGCUUCAUUUUUUUUGUUUUAUUUUCCUGUUGUCUUAUUUCUGUUUUAAACCUUACUUCAAAUCCAAAUCCAGAUUAUAAAUUCAAAUAUGAGUGCAACAAUACAAGAAAAUCACGCAUGAUGCAAAGUAUAUUUUAUUUUACUUCUGUUACUAUUCCAUUCUUUUAAGUAAAUGCGCCAAAACAUAUAGCUCACUACAAAUUAAAUCGCACCCUUCAAAGAUUUUUUUUCAAGAGAAUAGAUCUUUAACCAUAUUCAAAAUUAAAUGUUUUAAUAUUUACUUAUAAAGGAAUGCCUAUGAAACAUUUAUUUAUUAAUUAUUCCAUUAAAAAACGAGCAUUAUAAAAAAAUAAACUAUAUAUUAAUAGAAUUAUUAAUUGUCCAUAUUCAUAUAUAAUUCGGGUAUUACAAAUCCUACCCCCUUAAAAGGAAUCUUGUCCUCGAGAUUAGUAGAAAAGGGAUGCAACCAGUUUGGUUUAGGAAUUAAAAGUUUUGUUUCAAGUUUUUUUUACUCGCUAGUAGAUGAUUUGGAAUAUAUAUAUAUAUAUAUAUAUAUAUAUAUAUAUAUAUAUAUAUAUAUAUAUGUCUAGCCAUCUAUUAUGUCAGAUGAGGUACGAUUAUGGCAAGUAUAGGUUGUGGCAAGGAAGAGUAUAAUAAGGAAAGACUUCAUCUUGAACUGUGGAUCUUGAUUCCGCUGGCGAUUCAACUUGAUCUUUGAAGACUUGAGUUGAUGCUUAUCCUUCUUUGACGUGGUUGGUCUUCUUUGGCCUUUCUUCUUAGAGCUGCCGUCCGAGUUAAGGGCAUAUAGUUAGGAUAGCGGGGGUACACGAGGUAGGUAAGUUUGAACAAAGUUUUACUUUGCUUUUAGGACAAAUGGACUAAGUAGCCUGUGAGGUAGGUUAUGUUGUUUGUUCACGGACGAGUUGGUCUGUCAUUCUUAAUUUAGUGCAGAGUGCAAUAAUUUAAAAUAUGUUUUAUAGGGGUAGAGUCUCAUUUAUUUUACCACUAUUAACUGGUUAAGGGAUGACCUUAGGUUAGCUCACUUAAGGUUAGACUUCGUUAGGUUAGAUUAAUCCAUCACAUUAGAUCGGAUCUAGGUUAGAUUGUUAUGACUAGAUAAGAUCUCAUUAAUUUGGAUUAGAUCAUGGUUUUACUUUAGGAUGAGAUAAGCAAAGUUGUUAGGAUAAGACGAAUCUGUCAAGGUGAGAUGAAUCUAUUGAGAUAAGAGAGAAUCUUUUAAGCCAAGAUGUACCUAUUUAAAAGUAGAUACACUUUGAUGAAGGAUAAUCUAGGUUGUUUAGUUAUCUUAUGAAUGAAUUCUAUUUAUGCCUAUAUGUAUAUGCAGAUGUAAUUGUGGACAUUACUCCACAACUCAUCACACUCAAUCAAAGAUCCAAAUCAGACAAAUAUCAUAAGAACAAGAAUUCAAGCAUGUAGAUACUUAUAAAAAUAGUUUUGUUUUUUUCCUAAGAUUAGGUCUCCUAUUCCUAAGGGUCACUUUAGGCACAGGAUUUCAAAGUGUGAAAUCCACAUUUGUCUUUAGAAGGAAAAGGUAAGAAUAAUCAGAGUAAGCGGAAAUAGAUGAGAAAAGAUUAAGGAAAGUUUAGAAAAAGAAUCAGAGUAGCAAAGGUAAGUAGAUAAUGGUUAUCCAGUUCUAUCUAGGUUUCGUCAUACAGUCAACAUUCCUCUGAUACCACUUCUGUCACACCCGGAUUUCGGGCACCAAGACUCGGGCGCGAACAUAAACACCAGGUGUGCUGGGACCAAGUCUCACACAUAUGAUGAAUAAUGGCACAGGAUCGAAUGUCACAUCUUUACUACAUAACAGAAGUUCUAUACAAAAUAAAUAAAUAAAUAAGUACAUUAUAAGGAGACAACGGUCCAGCAACCCAAAGUUGACUGGGAGACGACGACCUAGACCUCUCACGAACUCGUCAUAGCAUCCUCCAUGCGCCUCAUCCUGUGGUACUGUUCUUGACCUGUGGGGGGUGUGAGACAGCGAGAGUGAGCUCACAUAAGUUCAUCGCUCAACAAGUUGUGGGGAAUAAUGUGCAUGAACUCGCCAAAGGUGGGAGCUCACGUGAGGUGUAAGGCUUACCAAAGAGGAUGGUUAGAGCUUAGCAUUGCUUUUAAAGUUGGUCAAAAUUUUAUUAGCAAUUACUAAGUAUAAGUAAAUACCAACCCAAUUAAGUAGUAGAACAGAAGUAACAACAUCACCUGCGAUGCAAUGCAUAUGACAAAUUGAAUUUAAGUUCCAUAAAUUAAUCAUGUGAGGGUCCGAGCUGCUCAUGACCGUAAGCACGGCUAGUAUACCAGUUUUACACUCUGCAGAGGUUGCGCAUCUUUACCCACAAGUCAUGUUACCCAUCUGCCAAGGGAUCGUGACUUUCCAUACACCUCUACCAAGGAGGCGAGGCAGGGUAACACUACGAGGCAUUUACAAAGUUCCACUAGCUUCAGAAAACCCGCUACAGUUUAUAGGAAGCUCCAAUGCAGGGAUCCCUCGCAUGACCGCCAUCGCAGCAAAAUCAUCCCAAGGACCUCCCUACACUGACCACUCCCCUACUGCCCUUGCCCCUUUCGGGUAAGGUAGUCCUCCACUAGCUUUCCUAAUUAAUCAGCCAAGGGCGUCCAUAAACCCUUGUGGUAGCACUGUUUUCCCGGGUGGUCGCUCCAUGUUCCAAUUAACAUAAUGAUCUUAUCAUGAACAGUGAUAAUAAACAGAUAAUAAAAGUGUGAUCAUGAAUAAUGUAUCUUCAUACCCAAAACCACAUAAAGCACUAGCAAGUACUACCCAAAAACUUCAGUGAUAAACAAGGUAUAAAGAUAAUCAAACUAGGGUAACCUAUUGGGUCCCAUCAAAAUUAACCUAUGCAGAUCAUUAUGAUUAAUUAGAACAUGAGUGAGUAAAAAGAAGUGAUCAAGGGCACAACUUGCCUGGGACUUGAGAUUCCAGGUACCAACUUGCUCUUCAGAUGACACGUGUCCUCACGCUAGUCGUAGCAAUACAGACAAACAUAGUACAUGCAAAAUUAACAUCACACCAAACAUAGGAAUAAACCACGUAAUAAUAAUCUACAUGCUGCUACGAGAUCGGAGAAACAAGAACUGCUAAAUUCGGAGCUACGGUUAUUAAGUUAUGUAUUUUCGAAAUUAUUUAGUGCUUAGAAUAGAUUAAUCCAAAUGAACAAUUUUAAUUCAAAUUUCAUGGCUAAACAGUGUUACUAGUUGAUAGACAAUAUUAAAACAAAAUUAUUGCAACUAGAAUGGAUCAAUUUGGAGUUAUAUAUUUUAAGUUAUGAAUUUCUGAAGGUUUUAUGUGUUUUAUGCAAGAUUAAAUAGGAUAUGAAUUUUAAUAUGACUUUCAUGUGAAAACAGUGGUACUAUAUGAUAAACCAUAAUAUUACAAAAUUAUAGGAACUGGAAUGGACUAAAAAGGAGUUAGUACGAAUUUUCUAGGAAUUAAACAAGAUCUAGAAUUAUUUUUAUACUAGAAAAGCAUUUUCUGUAUUAAUUUAUUCAAUUUCCUAUGUCUCUGGACUGCGCGCAUUAUUAUUAUAAAGUGCAGGGGCCUCGGCGCAAGAAACCCGAGACUCAUUUCCCCCCCCCCCCUCACAGGAUGGCGGGUUAAUUACGAAAAUGAUCAGGGGCUCUUAUGUAAUAUAGCAGUAGCGAAGGGGUACGGGUAAACUACAACCGCCCGAUUAGAUUUCAGUGGCUGGGAUUAGAUCAACAUUAAAUCGAACUGGUUCGCAAUCGUACCCGUCUGAUCCCGAUCCAAGGGUCGGGAUUUAAUAUGCUCCGAUCGAACAUAUACCGCUGAUCUUCCGAUGGACGGUAUAAAAUCAACGACCCUAAGGGGAUCUCUGCUUCUAAUUUCGUCCGUCCUCUUCCGAUGCAACGGAUGACCGUCAUCUCCUUCCUCCGGUACCCGGCCACGGCGGCGCUGCCGGCCGUCCACGACAGUACGCAUGCCCGUGACUGGUGGCCCGAUUCCCCGGCGACCGAAACACCGAUUGAGUUGGCGCUACGGGUUGCUACGCUCCUACUGAGACUGUUGAAGGGUGACUCACCAGCGACAAGGUUGAGACGAGAUCGGUCCACGUCGGGGUUGCGGCACCGCGGUGAGACCCGCACCGGCAAGGGAACACCAUGGCCGAGGCCAUCCAUCCCUACAUCUCGCGCUUGAGGAAGAUCCACACAGGUCGAUCUUAAUUUCUCUCCCAGCAUUGGCGUUCCCAAACCGGGCCGCCUGGCAGACUCCGACCGAUGGCGAAGUUGAGGAACGGCGUCGGCGGUUUCACCCUGACCCCAUUGGCGCUGCUGGUUUGGUAGCGAUAGGAGGUGGUUCGGCGGCUUCGUUAAUCAGAGGAGUGGGCUGGCACCAGGUUAUAUGUACUGCUUAGGCAGGAUCUCAACCAUAUUCCGAAAAUCUCGAGGGCACGAAGAAAUUGUGGCUGCAGCAACGGACAAGGCCGAGCAUCCAGGAAAGAAGAACCUGACACCCUCAACCCCACCCGUCAGAGGUGCAAGACAUUGAGGCAUCCGUUGAUUACUCUGCCCGUGGGACCCACACC